RNAcentral lists this ribosomal RNA (1126 nucleotides) under Salmonella enterica. RNAcentral describes it as "partial 23S ribosomal RNA". It matches the Rfam family "Bacterial large subunit ribosomal RNA", at positions 1 to 1165 of the family's 2925-position model. Lineage: Bacteria; Pseudomonadati; Pseudomonadota; Gammaproteobacteria; Enterobacterales; Enterobacteriaceae. The record is from RNAcentral.
GGUUAAGCGACUAAGCGUACACGGUGGAUGCCCUGGCAGUCAGAGGCGAUGAAGGGCGUGCUAAUCUGCGAUAAGCGCCGGUAAGGUGAUAUGAACCGUUAUAACCGGCGAUACCCGAAUGGGGAAACCCAGUGUGAUUCGUCACACUAUCAUUAACUGAAUCCAUAGGUUAAUGAGGCGAACCGGGGGAACUGAAACAUCUAAGUACCCCGAGGAAAAGAAAUCAACCGAGAUUCCCCCAGUAGCGGCGAGCGAACGGGGAGGAGCCCAGAGCCUGAAUCAGCAUGUGUGUUAGUGGAAGCGUCUGGAAAGGCGCGCGAUACAGGGUGACAGCCCCGUACACAAAAGCGCAUGUGCUGUGAGCUCGAUGAGUAGGGCGGGACACGUGGUAUCCUGUCUGAAUAUGGGGGGACCAUCCUCCAAGGCUAAAUACUCCUGACUGACCGAUAGUGAACCAGUACCGUGAGGGAAAGGCGAAAAGAACCCCGGCGAGGGGAGUGAAAAAGAACCUGAAACCGUGUACGUACAAGCAGUGGGAGCACAGGUUUACCUGUGUGACUGCGUACCUUUUGUAUAAUGGGUCAGCGACUUAUAUUCUGUAGCAAGGUUAACCGUAUAGGGGAGCCGAAGGGAAACCGAGUCUUAACCGGGCGUUAAGUUGCAGGGUAUAGACCCGAAACCCGGUGAUCUAGCCAUGGGCAGGUUGAAGGUUGGGUAACACUAACUGGAGGACCGAACCGACUAAUGUUGAAAAAUUAGCGGAUGACCUGUGGCUGGGGGUGAAAGGCCAAUCAAACCGGGAGAUAGCUGGUUCUCCCCGAAAGCUAUUUAGGUAGCGCCUCGUGAAUUCAUCUCCGGGGGUAGAGCACUGUUUCGGCUAGGGGGCCAUCCCGGCUUACCAACCCGAUGCAAACUGCGAAUACCGGAGAAUGUUAUCACGGGAGACACACGGCGGGUGCUAACGUCCGUCGUGAAGAGGGAAACAACCCAGACCGCCAGCUAAGGUCCCAAAGUCAUGGUUAAGUGGGAAACGAUGUGGGAAGGCCCAGACAGCCAGGAUGUUGGCUUAGAAGCAGCCAUCAUUUAAAGAAAGCGUAAUAGCUCACUGGUCGAGUCGGCCUGCGCG